Molecule: long non-coding RNA, 735 nt
Filed under: Helianthus annuus (common sunflower)
Lineage: Eukaryota; Viridiplantae; Streptophyta; Magnoliopsida; Asterales; Asteraceae
Description: sRNA HanXRQr2_Chr16g0758571
Source: RNAcentral
UUUACCCUAUCUUAUUUUGCAAAUCACAAAACUAGGUGUCUAAAGCAAGGAUUGAAAGCAUCGAUUGAAGGCAACACAGUAAGUUAUUUUCAAUCCUUAAUCUGAUCCACAUAUGAUUUUUUCAUAACCCUAAUUCUCAGCGAGGCAAUUCUCAUAUAUCUCUGAUUCAUCCUAAAUCGUUACCCUCUGAACUGGAUUUCGACCUUCAAACUUCAAAGAUCCAGAAAGAAUUUGAGUGCUAGGAUUUAUAAUGUUCUAUCUGAUGCUAGGAAAGCCGGUGGUACGUGGUUGCCUUCUUGAGCAGUAGUCUCAUUGGUUGGCGGUGAUGGGCGUGUGAGUGAAGAAAUUGGGACGAAUAGUAAUAACCAUUCAGAAUGCCAGCGUAUUAAGUACAAGUCUGAAUCCAGAAUUUUGUUGGUUGGUUCUGGAGCAGAUGAGCAAUCUGCUGGUUACGGCCCCCAUAAAACUAAUUACAAACAAAGCAGGUCAAGAUGGUUCAGCUGGGUUGAUCCAAAAUUCUUUUGUCCAAAACUGAUGGUUCCGAGUUAGGUCUGGGACAGGACAAGUAGUAACAUGUAUAGAGGAAAUGAGUUCUUGGAGGACUUGGGCAGUUUGGAACCAAGAAAACGGUGAAAAUCUUGUGUAAUUCGGUAUGAAGGGCGUAUGUUUGCAUUUACAUAGUUUUAGUUAUAUGUUAACAACUUUUCCAUUCUCAUCGCUAAUUAUGGUUAACUU